Molecule: ribosomal RNA, 438 nt
Filed under: Yersinia frederiksenii
Lineage: Bacteria; Pseudomonadati; Pseudomonadota; Gammaproteobacteria; Enterobacterales; Yersiniaceae
Description: bacterial SSU rRNA
Rfam family: Bacterial small subunit ribosomal RNA
Source: RNAcentral
CACAUGCAAGUCGAGCGGCAGCGGGAAGUAGUUUACUACUUUGCCGGCGAGCGGCGGACGGGUGAGUAAUGUCUGGGAAACUGCCUGAUGGAGGGGGAUAACUACUGGAAACGGUAGCUAAUACCGCAUGACCUCGCAAGAGCAAAGUGGGGGACCUUCGGGCCUCACGCCAUCGGAUGUGCCCAGAUGGGAUUAGCUAGUAGGUGGGGUAAUGGCUCACCUAGGCGACGAUCCCUAGCUGGUCUGAGAGGAUGACCAGCCACACUGGAACUGAGACACGGUCCAGACUCCUACGGGAGGCAGCAGUGGGGAAUAUUGCACAAUGGGCGCAAGCCUGAUGCAGCCAUGCCGCGUGUGUGAAGAAGGCCUUCGGGUUGUAAAGCACUUUCAGCGAGGAGGAAGGGGUUGAGUUUAAUACGCUCAAUCAUUGACGUUACU